This 253-nucleotide ribosomal RNA is filed under the name uncultured bacterium. Its description in RNAcentral is "partial 16S ribosomal RNA". It matches the Rfam family "Bacterial small subunit ribosomal RNA", at positions 524 to 776 of the family's 1533-position model. The record is from RNAcentral.
UACGGAGGGGGCUAGCGUUGUUCGGAAUUACUGGGCGUAAAGCGCACGUAGGCGGCUUCGCAAGUCAGAGGUGAAAGCCCGGGGCUCAACCCCGGAACUGCCUUUGAGACUGCGUCGCUCGAAUCCGGGAGAGGCGGGUGGAACUCCAUGUGUAGCGGUGAAAUUCGUAGAUAUUUGGAAGAACACCAGUGGCGAAGGCGGCCCGCUGGACUGCCAUUGACGCUGAGGUGCGAAAGCGUGGGGAGCAAACAGG